Molecule: ribosomal RNA, 447 nt
Filed under: uncultured bacterium
Lineage: Bacteria
Description: SSU rRNA
Rfam family: Bacterial small subunit ribosomal RNA
Source: RNAcentral
AGAGCGAACGCUGGCGGCAGGCCUAACACAUGCAAGUCGAGCGCCCGUAGCAAUACGGGAGCGGCAGACGGGAUAGUAACACGUGGGAACGCGCCCUUCGGUUCGGAAUAACUCAGGGAAACUUGAGCUAAUACCGAAUACGCCCUUACGGGGAAAGAUUUAUUGCCGAAGGAACGGCCCGCGUCCGAUUAGCUAGUUGGUGAGGUAAUGGCUCACCAAGGCUACGAUCGGUAGCUGGUCUGAGAGGAUGACCAGCAUCACUGGGACUGAGACACGGCCCAGACUCCUACGGGAGGCAGCAGUGGGGAAUAUUGGACAAUGGGCGAAAGCCUGAUCCAGCCAUGCCGCGUGGAUGAUGAAGGCCUUAGGGUUGUAAAGUCCUUUUAACGGGGAAGAUAAUGACGGUACCGUAGAAUAAGCCCCGGCUAACUUCGUGCCAGCAGCCGC